Lagopus muta (rock ptarmigan) is the source of this 456-nucleotide long non-coding RNA. RefSeq lists it as uncharacterized. Lineage: Eukaryota; Metazoa; Chordata; Aves; Galliformes; Phasianidae. The transcript is spliced from 4 exons. The record is from RefSeq and is a predicted model, not a curated record.
GAAACAAGGCAGAGUAUUAGAAAAUUGUGUUCAAAGGCACACACAUCUCUGGAGAUGUGGCUUCCUGCAACCUGGACGGUUUAGAAGGUGUGAAAUAGUCCUGAGCUCCAACCUUUAGGCCCUGUGGAGUUGGCCCACUGCCUGCAAAGUACUGUUUAUGCCUUGUGAGGGACUUGUGUACAGCUGAGGAAAUGCACAGCCAAUGGAUCACUGAAUGCAGUGACUGGCCAGCCAAGGAAGGACAAAGUGGCAGGAAUUCAAUCAGGAGCAGAGCAAUUGGCUCUCUUGCUAUAGGGAAGAACAGACACUACCUCUGCCCUGGGAGCCUGGGAGGAAAAUCAGCCAUGAAAGCAGGUCAACUCCCAGUCAGCUCUUUUCUCACUGGUUGGACUGUCUCAGUCAAAAAGAUCUCAAGCAAUCCUACAGACCUCCAUGGCUUACCUUCCAGAGAUGCUG